UUCAUCCUACGGGAGGCAGCAGUGAGGAAUAUUGGUCAAUGGGCUAAGGCCUGAACCAGCCAAGUCGCGUGAGGGAAGACGGUCCUAUGGAUUGUAAACCUCUUUUGUCGGGGAGCAACGAGGCCACGUGUGGCCGAAGUGAGAGUACCCGAAGAAAAAGCAUCGGCUAACUCCGUGCCAGCAGCCGCGGUAAUACGGAGGAUGCGAGCGUUAUCCGGAUUUAUUGGGUUUAAAGGGUGCGUAGGCGGUCCGUUAAGUCAGCGGUAAAAUUGCGGGGCUCAACCCUGUCGAGCCGUUGAAACUGG
Molecule: ribosomal RNA, 305 nt
Filed under: uncultured bacterium
Lineage: Bacteria
Description: bacterial SSU rRNA
Rfam family: Bacterial small subunit ribosomal RNA
Source: RNAcentral